GUGAAGCAAGUGCCUUAGAUAAGGUCAAGGGUGAUCUUAGAUUGAGCAUGAAAAUCGACCUUGUCGAGCCAUUUGAACUAUUCAAGUCCUUGACUGAGGCAAAGAGCCCACCACACCAAAUCACAGAGAAGCAAAAGACUGCAUGUGAGAGGUAAACAUAAUGAAUAUAUAUAUAUAUUGAAGAGAAUAAUCCAACUCAGAUAGGAUCGCC
RNAcentral lists this long non-coding RNA (211 nucleotides) under Elaeis guineensis (African oil palm). Its description in RNAcentral is "long non-coding RNA (EGUI_LNC046802)". The record is from RNAcentral. Lineage: Eukaryota; Viridiplantae; Streptophyta; Magnoliopsida; Arecales; Arecaceae.